This 228-nucleotide long non-coding RNA is filed under the name Amborella trichopoda. RNAcentral describes it as "long non-coding RNA (ATRI_LNC004414)". Lineage: Eukaryota; Viridiplantae; Streptophyta; Magnoliopsida; Amborellales; Amborellaceae. The record is from RNAcentral.
UGGAAAGUUGAGAUUGUUGAUGUUUAAGAUACUUGAUAUAUGUGGAGAGCUUAGGUUUUUGUUUAAACAUGUUUAUAGAGAAAACUUUUAUGUGCUUUUACUCUCAUUUUGAUAAUAAAAUGAAGUAACUUUCCUUAAAAAUAAAAUCGCCUAUUUUGUUACUUUUUCAUCUAAGCACAAGGAACAUAGUAUACAUUCCCUAGAUUAACUUUUUUCUAUAAAUUUUUU